GCGAGCCCCGUUGUCUGCCGAGGGUCACCGCGGCCACGGGCGCCGCGCCAGGCCAGGCCUCCCCCGGGAGCGGCGCUGGCUGCCUUCCUCCUGGCUCCUCUUCCACAACCGCCUCCACUGUCCCCUCCCCAAGGGCCCCGGCCGGAGGCGGCGGCGGAGGCUUUUGGGACAGCGCGGGGACACGGAGCGCUGCAGGGCUCACAGCUGCAGUUUCCAGGAUGUCCUUCUCUUUCUGGCUGUAAUCUCGAGGACAAAAAGCCCACAUGACUUUUCCUCAACGGAUCUCAAUCUGCAGGAAUAGAAAUACGGUGUCAGUUGCAAACUAUUUCCUAAUCAUGGGGUUAGUGUUUGAAAGUCGCCAAAGAGCUCAGACAUGCCUGGGAAUACACGCUGCCCCCAAAGGUGCUGGGAGUCACGGUCAGGGGGAAGUAAAGCAGGUCUGUGAUCACGUGAAAAUGAAGAUUCCUUGGAGAAAAAGUUAUCUGUUUUCUGGCUGUGAGUUUACAAGAUGCUGAAGCCUCUCAUAAUUCAGCCUGAGUUUCAGUGAGUUGUCGCUCCCUGAGCACAGUGUGGACAAAUGUCUGGCCAUGGCAGUGGCCAGUGGCUUCUCCUUUGUCGGACCUCAGUUUUCCAGGCUCAAAAAUAAAGUAGCAGAACUCAGCGGAGCUGGGAUCCUUCUUCUGAGUGGAAUGCUUGAUGCUAGAUUGAAUACUAGGACGUUCGCCAUGGUUUAAGCCUCUGGGGUUCAGUUUCUUGAUCUGUGAAGUGGGAAUGGAAAUGUGCUACAAGCACAGCCCUCAGAGAAGAGCCUGAGUCAUCCGUGCAGGGUGCAUGCAACACCACGGGAGGAGUCUCCCUCACUGUGUCCAGGGAGGCCGAGGGGAGCCCCACCCUGCCAGCGAGGGCUCUCUGCUCUGUGAAUUCUGCAUCUCUGGCUGAGCACUGGGUAUUAGGAACCCAAAGAGUGAUUCCAUAAAGAAAAAAAGUGUAGUUUAUACCAAAAUGGAAUAAACCCCCUUUUGAG
RNAcentral lists this long non-coding RNA (1024 nucleotides) under Chinchilla lanigera (long-tailed chinchilla). RNAcentral's name for it is "lncRNA (ENSCLAG00000028889.1)". The record is from RNAcentral. Lineage: Eukaryota; Metazoa; Chordata; Mammalia; Rodentia; Chinchillidae.